RNAcentral lists this ribosomal RNA (608 nucleotides) under uncultured fungus. RNAcentral describes it as "eukaryotic LSU rRNA". The stretch from base 215 to 368 matches the Rfam family "5.8S ribosomal RNA". The record is from RNAcentral. Lineage: Eukaryota; Fungi.
AUCAUUACCGAGUUCUCAACUCCCAAACCCACUGUGAACUUAUACCUUUAUCGUUGCUUCGGCGGGUCUCGGCCCCGGCGCUGCCGCUCCCCUUGCCGGGAGGGGUAAGCCGGACAACACGGCCCCCGCCGGAGGACCCAAACUCUUGAAUUUUUCCGCGGACUGGCUUCGCGGCAGUUUGUAUUCUGAUUACUUCAAAACAUAAAUGAAUCAAAACUUUCAACAACGGAUCUCUUGGUUCUGGCAUCGAUGAAGAACGCAGCGAAAUGCGAUAAGUAAUGUGAAUUGCAGAAUUCAGUGAAUCAUCGAAUCUUUGAACGCACAUUGCGCCCGCCAGUAUUCUGGCGGGCAUGCCUGUUCGAGCGUCAUUUCAACCCUCAAGCACUGCUUGGUGUUGGGGACCGGCGAGGUCGUCUCUCUCGACGCGCCGCCCCCGAAAUGACUUGGCGGCCCCGUCGCGGCCCUUCCUCUUGCGUAGUAGCACACACCUCGCAUCGGGAGCCCGACGGCGGCCACUGCCGUAAAACACCCAACUUUCUCAGAAGUUGACCUCGGAUCAGGUAGGAAUACCCGCUGAACUUAAGCAUAUCAAUAAGCGGAGGAAAGGG